Molecule: ribosomal RNA, 427 nt
Filed under: Ignavibacteriaceae bacterium
Lineage: Bacteria; Pseudomonadati; Ignavibacteriota; Ignavibacteria; Ignavibacteriales; Ignavibacteriaceae
Description: bacterial SSU rRNA
Rfam family: Bacterial small subunit ribosomal RNA
Source: RNAcentral
ACAACGGAGAGUUUGAUCCUGGCUCAGGACGAACGCUGGCGGCGUGCUUAACACAUGCAAGUCUACGAGAAUUAAGUAGCAAUACUUUUAGUAAAGUGGCGCACGGGUGCGUAACACGUAAGCAAUCUACCCUUGGAUAUGGAAUAACCCGUUGAAAGACGGGCUAAUACCGUAUAAUGCAGCGGCACCGCAUGGUGAUGUUGUUAAAGCUCUUGAAGCGUCUAAGGAUGAGCUUGCGUCUGAUUAGCUAGUUGGUGGGGUAAUGGCCUACCAAGGCAACGAUCAGUAGCUGGUCUGAGAGGAUGAUCAGCCACACUGGAACUGAGACACGGUCCAGACUCCUACGGGAGGCAGCAGUGAGGAAUAUUGGGCAAUGCCCGCAAGGGUGACCCAGCAACGCCGCGUGGAGGAUGAAUGCCGUAAGGUU